AUCUAGCUGAGGAAUCCCAGAUAGGAUGAAACACUGGUCCUGGAC
Non-coding RNA from Schistosoma margrebowiei, 45 nucleotides. The record is from Rfam. NCBI's taxonomy places the organism in Eukaryota, Metazoa, Platyhelminthes, Trematoda, Strigeidida, Schistosomatidae.